GAUGAACGCUGGCGGCGUGCCUAAUACAUGCAAGUCGAGCGAACGGACGAGAAGCUUGCUUCUCUGAUGUUAGCGGCGGACGGGUGAGUAACACGUGGAUAACCUACCUAUAAGACUGGGAUAACUUCGGGAAACCGGAGCUAAUACCGGAUAAUAUUUUGAACCGCAUGGUUCAAAAGUGAAAGACGGUCUUGCUGUCACUUAUAGAUGGAUCCGCGCUGCAUUAGCUAGUUGGUAAGGUAACGGCUUACCAAGGCAACGAUGCAUAGCCGACCUGAGAGGGUGAUCGGCCACACUGGAACUGAGACACGGUCCAGACUCCUACGGGAGGCAGCAGUAGGGAAUCUUCCGCCAUGGGCGAAAGCCUGACGGAGCAACGCCGCGUGAGUGAUGAAGGUCUUCGGAUCGUAAAACUCUGUUAUUAGGGAAGAACAUCUGUGUAAGUAACUGUGCCCAUCUUGACGGUACCUAAUCAGAAAGCCACGGCUAACUACGUG
RNAcentral lists this ribosomal RNA (497 nucleotides) under uncultured bacterium. RNAcentral describes it as "partial 16S ribosomal RNA". It matches the Rfam family "Bacterial small subunit ribosomal RNA", at positions 28 to 507 of the family's 1533-position model. The record is from RNAcentral.